RNAcentral lists this ribosomal RNA (44 nucleotides) under Hoya gracilis. RNAcentral describes it as "partial 18S ribosomal RNA". It matches the Rfam family "Eukaryotic small subunit ribosomal RNA", at positions 1788 to 1831 of the family's 1831-position model. Lineage: Eukaryota; Viridiplantae; Streptophyta; Magnoliopsida; Gentianales; Apocynaceae. The record is from RNAcentral.
GUCGCAACAAGGUUUCCGUAGGUGAACCUGCGGAAGGAUCAUUG